UGUAGGAGCUGCCGCAGGCUGCGAUCUUUUGAUCUUGAUCUUAAAAAAAUCAAAAGAUCGCAGCCUGCGGCAGCUCCUACA
This 81-nucleotide unclassified non-coding RNA is filed under the name Pseudomonas umsongensis. The record is from RNAcentral. Lineage: Bacteria; Pseudomonadati; Pseudomonadota; Gammaproteobacteria; Pseudomonadales; Pseudomonadaceae.